Molecule: ribosomal RNA, 253 nt
Filed under: uncultured bacterium
Lineage: Bacteria
Description: partial 16S ribosomal RNA
Rfam family: Bacterial small subunit ribosomal RNA
Source: RNAcentral
GACGUAGGGGGCGAGCGUUGUCCGAAGUGACUGGGCGUAAAGCGCGCGUAGGCGGCCCGUUAAGGGGGGGGUGAAAGGCUCCGGCUCAACCGGAGGAGGGCCUCUCCGACUGGCGGGCUUGAGGGCAGGAGAGGGGAGUGGAAUUCCUGGUGGAGCGGUGAAAUGCGUAGAGAUCAGGAAGAACACCCGUGGCGAAGGCGGCUCUCUGGUCUGUGCCUGACGCUGAGGUGCGAAGGCGUGGGGAGCGAACGGG